UACGUAGGGCGCAAGCGUUGUCCGGAAUUAUUGGGCGUAAAGAGCUCGUAGGCGGCUUGUCACGUCGGGUGUGAAAGCCCGGGGCUUAACCCCGGGUCUGCAUUCGAUACGGGCAGGCUAGAGUGUGGUAGGGGAGAUCGGAAUUCCUGGUGUAGCGGUGAAAUGCGCAGAUAUCAGGAGGAACACCGGUGGCGAAGGCGGAUCUCUGGGCCAUUACUGACGCUGAGGCGCGAAAGCUAGGGGAGCGAACGGG
RNAcentral lists this ribosomal RNA (253 nucleotides) under uncultured bacterium. RNAcentral describes it as "partial 16S ribosomal RNA". It matches the Rfam family "Bacterial small subunit ribosomal RNA", at positions 524 to 776 of the family's 1533-position model. The record is from RNAcentral.